RNAcentral lists this ribosomal RNA (540 nucleotides) under uncultured bacterium. RNAcentral describes it as "partial 16S ribosomal RNA". It matches the Rfam family "Bacterial small subunit ribosomal RNA", at positions 355 to 887 of the family's 1533-position model. The record is from RNAcentral.
UGGGGAAUUUUGGACAAUGGGCGAAAGCCUGAUCCAGCAAUGCCGCGUGUGUGAAGAAGGUCUUCGGGUUGUAAAGCACUUUUGUCCGGAAAGAAAUCCUUGGCUCUAAUACAGUCGGGGGAUGACGGUACCGGAAGAAUAAGCACCGGCUAACUACGUGCCAGCAGCCGCGGUAAUACGUAGGGUGCAAGCGUUAAUCGGAAUUACUGGGCGUAAAGCGUGCGCAGGCGGUUUGCUAAGACCGAUGUGAAAUCCCCGGGCUCAACCUGGGAACUGCAUUGGUGACUGGCAGGCUAGAGUAUGGCAGAGGGGGGUAGAAUUCCACGUGUAGCAGUGAAAUGCGUAGAGAUGUGGAGGAAUACCGAUGGCGAAGGCAGCCCCCUGGGCCAAUACUGACGCUCAUGCACGAAAGCGUGGGGAGCAAACAGGAUUAGGAUACCCUGGUAGUCCACGCCCUAAACGAUGUCAACUAGUUGUUGGGGAUUCAUUUCCUUAGUAACGUAGCUAACGCGUGAAGUUGACCGCCUGGGGAGUACGGUC